AUGCAACGAUUGGGUUUGGCAUUUUUAGAAGAAUUUUUUAUGGAAGAAGAGCAAGUUUUUUCUUUGAUGUUCACCAAAACAUCUUUUUCUUUCUGUGGAUCACACACUGAGCGUAUUUGGUAUUUGGCGAAUUUGCUUUUUGCAUGUUGA
This 150-nucleotide ribosomal RNA is filed under the name Triticum aestivum (bread wheat). RNAcentral's name for it is "partial small subunit ribosomal RNA". The record is from RNAcentral. Lineage: Eukaryota; Viridiplantae; Streptophyta; Magnoliopsida; Poales; Poaceae.